CAAACUCCUUACCUCAAGUGAUCCAACCGCCUCGGCCUCCCAAAGUUCUGGGAUUACAGGUCUGAGCCACCAUGCCCGACCAAGAAGUCAUCUAUAUUAGAUCUACUCUUUGGAAUCACUGAGGUUUUGUGUCCUUUCAUGUGGUAAGUUAAUAUAAUGAAUUUUCUGUAUCCUUUGCCUGAAUUUCCCAUACUGUUUCCUCUUUAAAUUUGAAUGUUGUGUUGGUACAUAGUCUGGCCUAUGGAUUUUUCAGUGGUGAUUAUAUCUUGUUAAAUUUCCUUCUUGGUCUCCUUUAAUGCUUUUGGCCUUUCUUUUAAUCUUGUCUGAUUAGACUGUGUCACCUUGGUCUUGUGUGUUGUUUGUCUUUACCUGGUGUAUUUUUGCCCUAUGAGUAUAUCUUAUCUUCUUACACACUUUGAAAUAAUUUUAGAUUCAUAUAGACUUCCAAAAAUUGUACAGGAGUUUCUGUCACUCCAUGAGUGAGUGGAUAAAGAAAUUGUGGUACAUCCAUGCAGUGGAAUACUAGUCAGCCAUGAAGAAGAACACACAUAAAACAACUUGAAGGGACCUUACAGGUAUUAUGCUUAGUGACAAAAGCCAGUCUUAAAAGGUUCUAUACCAUGAUUCCAUUUAUGUAACAGUAUUGAAGGAACAACAUUAUGGUGAUGAAGAAGGGAUUAGAGGUUGCUGGGAUUAGGAGGGUGUUACUAUAAAAAGUAAGGAGGAGUUUUUCAGGGGCGAUGGAAGUUUUGCCUCCUCAUUGUAGCAGUGGUUACCUGAAUUGAUGUGUGUCAUACAAUUUCAUAGAACUUGUGUUGUGGGGGGCAGGAAACCACUCUCAGACCCAGUGAUUGGCUAGAAAGACUCAGGACUCAGAAACUGUUGAGCUCAGAGGGAGAGGGUGACCAGUCUCUGCAGUUGCAGCCCUGGGGCUGUUCUAAUCUGUAUCUUUUCCUGGUAAUAGACAUGGCUGUGAGCAUGACAGGUGUCAGUGAGCUCUGUGUGCCUCAUCAACGAAUCAUCCAACCUGAAGGUGGUUGUGGGAAACUCUUGGACCUGCAGUCAGUAUCAGAAGGCCUGGGCAGACUUGGCCAGCCACCUGGAGCACUGUGCCCUUAAACUCAGGGCAUUCACUGGUGACCCACACUGACACUGCUUUUUGGAGGACAAGGCAGAGUUGACCAUCCCAGUCUUGCCUGGAGGUCAUAGGACCGUUGUCACUGCAGCCUCAGGUCUGAUGCAUAAUCCCAUGACCCUCCAGAUCUGAGCCAUGACCCACUCUGGGCCCUGCCGGCGGGGAGGCGGUGGGCCCAUGGGGGCUGCCUCACUGGCCUCCCUCGUCCUCUAUUCCGGGUUGGGGUUGGCUCUCAGCACACUGGGGAAAAGGGUGGGGUCGAUGACUUGUCCCUGGCUCCCUCCCCUUGCCCCAUGCCUGCCAUAACCGCAGCUUCAGAGAAAGGUGCCACACUCGCUUGGCUGACAAUGUCGGGGAGUCCCCUGGGCUCCACACCAGGGCGUGUGCCCUUGGAAAACCACGGUGACUGAAUCAUGUCCCUUUCAGCCAAAACUGGAAGACAGCCCAGCUCCCUGCCUUCAGGUGACCAGAUCUCUAAGUCACAUUACUGGCCCCAGGGUCAAGUCCAGGCUCCCCAGCUGGGGUACCUCCCAGGCUGAGUACAGGCCUUGCUCCCUCCUUCCUCCCUGCACGUGCUCUGAGCCUCCAGCCCGACGCCUGGGAUGCCGGUGCCCCUUGGGCCCCAGACCCUACUACUCUUGAGUGACAGGCCUCUUCCUAGGGGUUUCUGUGCAUCCGUCACAUCACCCACGUUAGAGUCCCUUCCUGUGAGGACAGAAGGGCCCUGAAGACAGAGCCGGCCCCUGGUGAGCUCUGCUUUCCCGCACUGACCCCUCCUGGGCUGCAGCUCCCCACCUGGCAGCUGCCGCCCCCCAUGGCCCUGGUCGAGGUCACCUGUCGUUCCCGUCCCCACCACUCACCAAGCGCUCCCAGGUUCUCCGUCUGGAAGACCCUCUGCAGCGGGGGGAUGUAAAUGACCGCCAGCUGCCCCAGGAUGGACCCCAGGACGGAGUAGAGGAACAUGUGGUUCCUGAGAAAGCCGAUCUCAAAUAUCAGCUUGGUCUGCAGGGAGAAGGUCACACGGGGGAUUGUGUGCUGUCCACACCCCAGGUACAGGCAGGGGAGCUCUGACUGCCCACGCUGAGCCAGAGCCGCUCAAUGCUGCGGGCAGGGUCGGGGCGCUGCUGUCGAGAACACACAGCAGCUCUGCAGCGAGGAGGGUCAGCCCGGGUCUCACCUGAGAGCGGCAGGUCAAGGCGUUGAAGAGAUCGAAAAACACAAAACAAGUGAACGUCAUCGUCGUGGUGCGGGGAGUGCUUGCUCUGUCUUCAGGCAUCUGGAAGGUGAGCACAAAGAUGUGAGCUGUGGCAGGAGGGCAGGGACUGCAGUCCCCAGCGUCUGCACCGCACCAGGGCUUGGAGAACAGGCCGGGGUGACCCUCGCUCACCUCCUUCCAGAAGAUAAAGAGGGUCCCGCUGAUGAUGAUGGCCGCGGACAUGAGGAUCUUCAGGAUGAGGGCUCUGCUGAGGAUGGUGUCCCGCACACUCCGUGGUGGCUGCCUGAAGGCGUCUUUGUCAACGGGCUCUACCCCCAAGCUGCUCCGAACAAGACACAGACACUUUGAAAUGAACCAGGAAUGAAAUAAAGGACCCUUGAAACAGCUGUGCCUGAGCCUCCCAGGCCAAGUUGGCACAGGGGGCAGGGCCAGGCAUUUGCUGAACGCCCCCAGGCAUCGCACCUGCCCUCCUCGGCACCUUCCAGAAGCCCCAGAGCCUGGGUCCAUGGGCAGCUGUGCCCCUCCAUCUGUCCCGCAGACAGUGAAGGAAGACCACCCCGUAAGGCCAACCACACACAGUUCCAUACACCCAGAUGAUCUCCAUCACCCCGAGGGGACCCCCCCCAACGUUGCGCCUGGAGAAACAGGCUCCAGGCUCCGCCCUCCGCAGAGCCCCUCAUCAGCUGAGAGAGACCAGCCUCCAGCCAACUCCACACAGCAGGGUUGAGGCUAGACCCGCAGCAGGCGGUAUGGUGGGAGUGGCCGGGUGAGGCCCUGCCGCUCAGACACAGCUGAGGCCAGCUUCCUGGUCCCACUUCUGCUCCCAGGGAGGGCUGGCAGGAGAGGUAACCCUCACACUUGGCUUUGGGGACACAAAUGAGGACUCUCUUUCCCUUGGCAGCUAUCACUGGUGAUAACAGCAGCACUGAGCUCCAGCGGAAGCACUGGCUCUGUGCUCAUACGGUUACGCACACGUGGCCAGAUGGGUCCCCUGACUCCAAAGCGCAUUCCUUCCCCCACACCACUUGGCCAGCUUGUUGAAGGGGAUAUUAAGUGGCGGAGCGGGUGGACUCCUGAGCACCUACUGAGUGGCAAGCCCUUUAUCUCUAGACAUCAGGGAUGAAACACAAACUCCGCCUCCAUGAAACUGAUGUUCUAAAGGGGAGACAGAUCACAAUCAGAUCCAUAAGGAAAAGUGUGUCUGUGUGUAUCUUCCUCUCUAGGGAAAAAUACAGCAGGGUGAGGGGAUUGAGUGGGAGUGCAAUCAGGGAAGACUUCCUGAAGGCAGUGACUGGUGACUGGAAUGAAGCAUGAGAAUGAGCCAUGCAGGUUGCCCAGAGAGAGCAUCCAGGCAGAGGGAGCAGAAAGUUCCAUCCUCACCCAGCUCUGCCGGCCCAGGUACUUUCUCCUCUGCCUUCUACUCCCAGUCUCACUGCAGUGCAACACACUUCAGUUUUCUGGGAACUCCUGAUGGAAAGUGGCUGUAUUUGUUCAUCCCUAUAGCCUUGGGGCACAGCCAGCAGCCCCUGGAGGAAGCCCCGCAGGUGGGUAAAGAGACACAGGGCUCCCAGCCGGCCCUGCCUCACCUCUGCGCCGGUGGCCCAUCCAUGAUGAUGUUGAUCCAUAGGAUCUGCAUGGCGUUGAGGGGGCUGGGCAGGUUGAACACGGUGGACAGAGUGAUGAGACUCAGGGCGGAGAUGCUCCUGCGGGGCAC
Molecule: long non-coding RNA, 4065 nt
Filed under: Homo sapiens (human)
Lineage: Eukaryota; Metazoa; Chordata; Mammalia; Primates; Hominidae
Description: HSALNT0387419
Source: RNAcentral